This 506-nucleotide ribosomal RNA is filed under the name uncultured bacterium. Its description in RNAcentral is "partial 16S ribosomal RNA". It matches the Rfam family "Bacterial small subunit ribosomal RNA", at positions 29 to 523 of the family's 1533-position model. The record is from RNAcentral.
AGUGAACGCUGGCGGUAGGCCUAACACAUGCAAGUCGAACGGCAGCACAGGAGAGCUUGCUCUCUGGGUGGCGAGUGGCGGACGGGUGAGGAAUACAUCGGAAUCUACUCUGUCGUGGGGGAUACCGUAGGGAAACUUACGCUAAUACCGCAUACGACCUACGGGUGAAAGCAGGGGAUCUUCGGACCUUGCGCGAGUGAAUGAGCCGAUGUCGGAUUAGCUAGUUGGCGGGGUAAAGGCCCACCAAGGCGACGAUCCGUAGCUGGUCGGAGAGGAUGAUCAGCCACACUGGAACUGAGACGCGGUCCAGACUCCUACGGGAGGCAGCAGUGGGGAAUAUUGGACAAUGGGCGCAAGCCUGAUCCAGCCAUACCGCGUGGGUGAAGAAGGCCUUCGGGUUGUAAAGCCCUUUUGUUGGGAAAGAAAUCCAGCUGGCUAAUACCCGGUUGGGAUGACGGUACCCAAGGAAUAAGCACCGGCUAACUUCGUGCCAGCCGCCGCAGUAA